AUGCCUACGGGGGGCAGCAGUGGGGGAUAUUGCACAAUGGGGGGAACCCUGAUGCAGCGACGCCGCGUGAGCGAUGGAGUACUUCGGUAUGUAAAGCUCUGUCAGCAGGGAAGAAAAUGACGGUACCUGACCAAGAAGCCCCGGCUAAAUACGUGCCAGCAGCCGCGGUAAUACGUAUGGGGCAAGCGUUAUCCGGAUUUACUGGGUGUAAAGGGAGCGUAGGCGGCAGGGCAAGCCUGAUGUGAAAGCCCGGGGCUCAACCCCGGGACUGCAUUGGGAACUGCCCUGCUGGAGUGCCGGAGGGG
This 305-nucleotide ribosomal RNA is filed under the name uncultured bacterium. Its description in RNAcentral is "bacterial SSU rRNA". It matches the Rfam family "Bacterial small subunit ribosomal RNA", at positions 335 to 657 of the family's 1533-position model. The record is from RNAcentral.